AAGAUCUUCGAAGUUAUAUACUUAUCAUCAUCAAGGGUUAUAAUUCGGAUUAUGUUUAAAAUUGUCUUAUUAAAGACACCGAGAUAGAGGAGCUGCAGAAGAUCUUCGAAGUUAUAUACUUAUCAUCAUCACGGUUAUAAUUCGGAUUAUGUUUAAAAUUGUCUUAAUAAAGACAUCGAGAUAGAGGUGCAAAAUUCCAGAGGGAAGCAAUGCAAGGCUAGCAAGCACACAUAAUGGCUUAACAUCGGUUAAAUGGUGUAUCUAUACGAAGUUGAUCUAAAAUCAAGCUGAAGGAUAU
This is a long non-coding RNA of Camelina sativa (false flax), 298 nucleotides long. RefSeq lists it as uncharacterized. NCBI's taxonomy places the organism in Eukaryota, Viridiplantae, Streptophyta, Magnoliopsida, Brassicales, Brassicaceae. The record is from RefSeq and is a predicted model, not a curated record.